RNAcentral lists this long non-coding RNA (204 nucleotides) under Elaeis guineensis (African oil palm). RNAcentral's name for it is "long non-coding RNA (EGUI_LNC066936)". Lineage: Eukaryota; Viridiplantae; Streptophyta; Magnoliopsida; Arecales; Arecaceae. The record is from RNAcentral.
UCUUAUCUGCGUGAGAGGAUAAAGAUAAGUGGUUGCACAUUUGAAUUCAAAUCGAGUUUGAAUUCAAAUGCAAACCAACUCAUCCCUAUCCACUUAUGGCAUGAGAAGAGAAGGGCAUGGACUUUUUGUGCAUGAAAAUGUUUCACGAGAAACCUUUUCUCGUGUAAGUUAUGUGGCGCACAAGAUGGAUAAGCAUGAAGGCAC